GAUCAUGGCUCAGGAUGAACGCUAGCUACAGGCUUAACACAUGCAAGUCGAGGGGAAACGACAUCGAAAGCUUGCUUUUGAUGGACGUCGACCGGCGCACGGGUGAGUAACGCGUAUCCAACCUGCCCACCACUUGGGGAUAACCUUGCGAAAGUAAGACUAAUACCCAAUGACGUCUCUAGAAGACAUCUGAAAGAGAUUAAAGAUUUAUCGGUGAUGGAUGGGGAUGCGUCUGAUUAGCUUGUUGGCGGGGUAACGGCCCACCAAGGCGACGAUCAGUAGGGGUUCUGAGAGGAAGGUCCCCCACAUUGGAACUGAGACACGGUCCAAACUCCUACGGGAGGCAGCAGUGAGGAAUAUUGGUCAAUGGGCGAGAGCCUGAACCAGCCAAGUAGCGUGCAGGACGACGGCCCUAUGGGUUGUAAACUGCUUUUAUAAGGGAAUAAAGUGAGUCUCGUGAGACUUUUUGCAUGUACCUUAUGAAUAAGGACCGGCUAAUUCCGUG
This 505-nucleotide ribosomal RNA is filed under the name uncultured bacterium. RNAcentral describes it as "bacterial SSU rRNA". It matches the Rfam family "Bacterial small subunit ribosomal RNA", at positions 15 to 507 of the family's 1533-position model. The record is from RNAcentral.